AAGGAAUACACAUUUGAAAUCAAACUGGGCAUGAACACUGAAAAACUAAAGGCGGUGGCAAUGGUGUACCUCUUACGUGUGCAAGCGGACCAGAAGUGUAAACUAGGACAGUAUCACGCAAUGGACAAUUGCACACCUGUUGCUUGUCCUGCGAAGUUCGUUUGGAAAGACAAGAUUCACAUGUGUGAUGAAGCAGUAUCGGAUAAUAAGAUGCAAGUUGACCUCUUGGUAAUACUCGACACCUCCGCAAAUACCGGGC
Lineus longissimus is the source of this 259-nucleotide long non-coding RNA. RefSeq lists it as uncharacterized. The record is from RefSeq and is a predicted model, not a curated record. NCBI's taxonomy places the organism in Eukaryota, Metazoa, Nemertea, Pilidiophora, Heteronemertea, Lineidae. The transcript is spliced from 4 exons.